CCACCACCAAAGCAUUCUCUGGUGUUGAAGGCCCUGCAAAGCAGCAUCGCGGUGGCGGAGCGUCGUUUGCGACGCCCAACACACAAAACAAGCGGUGAGUGCUUUGGGGUGGGGUGACUGCGUACCUUUUGUAUAAUGGGUCAGCGACUUAUAUUCUGUAGCAAGGUUAACCGUAUAGGGGAGCCGAAGGGAAACCGAGUCUUAACUGGGCGUUAAGUUGCAGGGUAUAGACCCGAAACCCGGUGAUCUAGCCAUGGGCAGGUUGAAGGUUGGGUAACACUAACUGGAGGACCGAACCGACUAAUGUUGAAAAAUUAGCGGAUGACUUGUGGCUGGGGGUGAAAGGCCAAUCAAACCGGGAGAUAGCUGGUUCUCCCCGAAAGCUAUUUAGGUAGCGCCUCGUGAACUCAUCUUCGGGGGUAGAGCACUGUUUCGGCUAGGGGGUCAUCCCGACUUACCAACCCGAUGCAAACUGCGAAUACCGAAGAAUGUUAUCACGAGAGACACACGGCGGGUGCUAACGUCCGUCGUGAAGAGGGAAACAACCCAGACCGCCAGCUAAGGUCCCAAAGUCACAGUUAAGUGGGAAACGAUGUGGGAAGGCUCAGACAGCCAGGAUGUUGGCUUAGAAGCAGCCAUCAUUUAAAGAAAGCGUAAUAGCUCACUGGUCGAGUCGGCCUGCGCGGAAGAUGUAACGGGGCUAAACUGUGCACCGAAGCUGCGGCAGCGACGCUUAUGCGUUGUUGGGUAGGGGAGCGUUCUGUAAGCCUGCGAAGGUGUCCUGUGAGGGAUGCUGGAGGUAUCAGAAGUGCGAAUGCUGACAUAAGUAACGAUAA
Molecule: ribosomal RNA, 836 nt
Filed under: Salmonella enterica subsp. enterica serovar Kentucky
Lineage: Bacteria; Pseudomonadati; Pseudomonadota; Gammaproteobacteria; Enterobacterales; Enterobacteriaceae
Description: partial 23S ribosomal RNA
Rfam family: Bacterial large subunit ribosomal RNA (bases 88-836)
Source: RNAcentral